GACGAACGCUGGCGGCGUGCUUAACACAUGCAAGUCGAGCGGUAAGGCCCUUUCGGGGGUACACGAGCGGCGAACGGGUGAGUAACACGUGGGUGACCUGCCCUCAGCUCUGGGAUAAGCCUGGGAAACUGGGUCUAAUACCGGAUAUGACCCCAUGACGCAUGUCGUGGGGUGGAAAGCCUUGUGCGGCUGAGGAUGGGCCCGCGGCCUAUCAGCUUGUUGGUGGGGUGAUGGCCUACCAAGGCGACGACGGGUAGCCGGCCUGAGAGGGCGACCGGCCACACUGGGACUGAGACACGGCCCAGACUCCUACGGGAGGCAGCAGUGGGGAAUCUUGCGCAAUGGGCGAAAGCCUGACGCAGCGACGCCGCGUGAGGGAUGACGGCCUGGUGUAACU
This 397-nucleotide ribosomal RNA is filed under the name uncultured bacterium. RNAcentral's name for it is "bacterial SSU rRNA". It matches the Rfam family "Bacterial small subunit ribosomal RNA", at positions 28 to 430 of the family's 1533-position model. The record is from RNAcentral.